Non-coding RNA from Potamilus streckersoni, 79 nucleotides. The record is from the annotation of a GenBank genome assembly. NCBI's taxonomy places the organism in Eukaryota, Metazoa, Mollusca, Bivalvia, Unionida, Unionidae.
GCUCUGAUGGCCGAAUGGUUAGAGCGUCUAUCUCGGAUGCUGGAGGUUGUGGGUUCGAUCCCCGGCCAAGUCUGCGGCA